CGUUGCUUUCUUUCUUCAAAAACCGAUCCCCUAUCCAAAUAAACUGAGCUUUUUAAACAAAAGAUUUGUGCGGUAAAAUUUAUUAUUGGAUCAAAUUUUAAUAGUACAAAUUUUUUGCUGAAUAAGUUCAGUUUAUUUGGGACCGGAAGGAUCGGAUUCCCUCUCUCGCCUAUCUCACGUCGCAUCUCUCACUAUGUCCCUUUUCACUUCACAACUCUCUCUCUCUCUCUCUCUCUCUCUCUCUCUCUCUACCCACUCACUCAACAAUUAAUUUCCACUUUCAUUUCACUCAUCUCUCUCAACCUCUCCCAAUGCACUCCCUCAUUUUUCUGAAAACCUCACUCUCUCUAAACCCGAGAGAAGAGAGCUCUCACUCUCCCACUUACCUUCACAACUAAGCCCUAUUUUCUACAUAUUCGAAGUCUGUGGGAUGCAAGGAUCGUGGUCUUGCAUGUGAGAUCGCUGCAGUGAGGACCUCGGCACCAUUGAAGUUGAGAGCUCCAUAGCUCUCAAAGCUUGAACCCAGUUUCCGGCGAAGGACCGCGGAAUUGCAGGCCAUUUCCGACUAGUUCCGGCACAACUUGUGUCCCACUUAGUUUUCGGCGGUUGCAGCGGCGAACGGAAGCCCAGAUCCGCGACCCGAAUCCAGAUCCGCGACCCGGAAUCCGGCCCGGCCCGGUUCGAAAAUGCAUAUGGAAUAUUUUGUGUUUGACUUUUUACAAAAUUUGAUCAGAAUCCCUCUUAGCGUAUUUUGACAAUCUGAUUUCAAAUUCGCACUCUGUUUUCUCAAAUUUGACCGUUUAAAUUGAGUUUUACUAAUGCGUCACAAUGUUAUACUUAGGUGCGAUAACUAUCAGAGACUCCGACUUUCUCAGCUUGAAAGGAUGUGACUUCACAAGUAUUUGAUUUUUAAUGGCAGAGAUUUUGUGACGACAAAGAUUGUUGGUAAAAGCUGUUAUGUAGAAGACUUCUCCUUUCGGUGUCGGCCAACACAUUGCAAUUCGGAUGUCUAGAUAGACAUUCAGGAUCAGGAUGUGUCACCAAACGCCUGCUUAUUUGGCCCCUUUGUCCAGUCAAAAUGUGAAAGUAUCGACUAUUUAAUCAGGACCUGAUGGUUCUUUUAUUUUA
Molecule: long non-coding RNA, 1128 nt
Organism: Pyrus x bretschneideri (Chinese white pear)
Lineage: Eukaryota; Viridiplantae; Streptophyta; Magnoliopsida; Rosales; Rosaceae
Exons: 5
Source: RefSeq, a predicted model, not a curated record